AUGAUGACUCAAGAUAAUACUAAAUUGUGUGACUUUGCCAAUACCAACAACAAUGAUUUUCUUAGCACUCUGAUUGCUCCUCUUACCAAUGCCGAAUCUUGUGAAAUUAAUGUUGCUUUGUUGAAUCUUGUCAUGAAAGAUCAAUUCGCUGACCUUCCUAGUGAAGAUGCCGCUACCCAUCUAAACAACUUUGUUGAUUUGUGUGAUAUGCAAAAGAAGAAAUAUGUGGAUAAUGAUAUUGUUAAAUUGAAGUUAUUUCCAUUUUCGCUUAGAGAACAUGCUAAAGCUUGGUUUUCGUCUUUGCCUAAAAAUAGUAUUGAUUCAUGGAAUAAGUGA
This 336-nucleotide ribosomal RNA is filed under the name Triticum aestivum (bread wheat). Its description in RNAcentral is "partial small subunit ribosomal RNA". Lineage: Eukaryota; Viridiplantae; Streptophyta; Magnoliopsida; Poales; Poaceae. The record is from RNAcentral.